Molecule: long non-coding RNA, 3180 nt
Filed under: Malus domestica (apple)
Lineage: Eukaryota; Viridiplantae; Streptophyta; Magnoliopsida; Rosales; Rosaceae
Description: long non-coding RNA (MDOM_LNC004112)
Source: RNAcentral
CACUUCCUGUUGUGCUAGGAUAGCACCAAACUUUAUGGAACCAACUUUUGAUAACCCACAGGAAAUAUAUCAAAUGUAAUGCAAGAACAAAAUAUUAAAGACACCAAGAUUUUAACGAGGUUCCUCAACAGUCAGUGUAACUGGAGUAUGUCCUCGGAGCAGUAGGAGCUCACCCAAUAAUCCACUAUCAACCAAAUGGGAGUUUACAAAGUGUUGGCAAGCUUACAACCCAAAACCCCAAUACAACCAAUAGCUCUCACACACCAAAGAAACAAAUAGAGAGAAAUAUAAUGAAUAAUUUCUUCUCUAUACGAAGCUUAAAGCUAAUACACAAAUACAACUUUGAUUGAGUGAGAACUAACCAAGAAAGAAAAUCACCUUUCUUUCUUAUAUGGGAGCUGCGUACCUCUCUUCUUGUUUCUGCUGCUCCCUCCUAUUUUCUUCUUCUGCGGCUGUUUUCUUCUCAAAACAACAAAAGCAGCAAUUGCUGCUAAAUAAUUCCUUAAGUCACCCCGUGACUUCCCACAUGGACCAAAGAAAAAACUUUAGACAAAGUGCACUUUUCUUUUCCCUAAAACAAGGAAGAAACAUAUUCAUGUUGUCCUUUUUUUUUUCUUUUUAUUUGUUUAAUAGCCAAAAGGUAAUGGCCACUUGGCCACCAUUCAACAAUCUCCACCUUGGCCAAGUUCCGAAAACGCCAUGAUAAGCCAACUAACACAAUUGAUCCAAAAAAUCACUCCCAAACACUAGCAAGAGAACAACUCAUGCCGAGCCAAAUGCUCCAAAACUCCUACUGCUCAACGCCUUCUUUAUAUAGGCAAAAUGUGAGCCAAGUUCAAGCAAUGAACAAACUUGGCUACACCAACAAAAUGCUUAAUACCUCACUCUUGUGCUUCAUAGUAUAGACCCAAGACCUUCUUGAAUAAUCAUCAACAAAGGUCACGAACCAAUGUCUACCACUCAAAGAGGGAGUCUUUGUAGGACCCCAAACAUCCGAAUGCACAUAAUCAAGAAUGCCAUUCGUUUGAUGUACAGCAGUACCAAACUUCACUCUAGUUUGCUUCCCUAAGACACAAUGCUCGCAGAAAUCAAGCUUAUAAGUCGUGGCACCGUUUAGAAGACCUUGUUUCACAAGCCCUUGUAGAGCUUUCUCACCGGCGUGGCCUAAUCUCAUAUGUCAUAGUCUAGUAGUAUCUGAAUCAUAUGUGCCCAUAUUUUCAGAAACUACAGAUGCUUCACCUGUCACAGUGCUUCCCUGCAAUAAAUACAAAUGGCCACAUCGAGGAGCUUUCAUCACAACAAGUGCACCAUAAGUAACUUUCAAUGUCUGCUCAUCUGAAUGAAACCUGAAACCCUUGGAUUCUAAAGUGCCCAAAGAAAUAAGAUUUUUCUUCAAAUUCGGUACAUACCGAACACAUGUCAACUCUUUAACCAUACCAUCAUGCAACUUCAAACGAACUGUACCAAUCCCUUUUGUUGUGCAACGAUUGUCAUCUCCCAUGAACACAACGCCACCAUCAAACUCUUUCAAGCUUGAAAACCAAUCCUUGUGAGGAGUCAUAUGAUGAGUACAACCCGUAUCCAACACCCACUUAGUGGCACAAUCAAAUGAUGAAGAAGUGGUUAAAGCAAAAUCAGAAAAAUCUGUUUCAACUUCAGCAACAUUAGCUUCAGAACUUUCUUUGCCUUUGAUCUUCAAUUUAGGACAAUCUUUCUUCCAAUGGCCCUUAUUACGACAAAAGGCACAUUCAUCCAUUUCCAAAGGUUUUCUACCUUUAGAGUUUCCUCUAGGUCGAGACUGUGAUUUUUUCUUACUAGAAGAUGAUCUUCUCUCCGAUGAUCUACCUCUAACAAAUAAAGCUUCAGAGUUACUAUCAUGAUUUUUAUCUCUAUGCCUCAUUUCAUAAUUCAUCAAGGCAUUUGACACAUCUUCAAAUUUCACAGUUUCUUUACCAUGCAUAAUAGUGGUAACAAAAUGCUCAUAAGAGUCCGGCAAGGAAUUCAACAAUAUUAAGGCCUUAUCUUCAUCCUUAAUAUCCUCAUCUAAAUUUAACAAGUCGGCAAUCAACUUAUUAAAAGCAUCAAGGUGUCUAAUCAUUUUUGUACCUUCUUUGUAUUGAAAACGGUAGAGCUUUUUCUUCAAGUGUAGCCUGUUCUCUGCACUCUUCGUCAUAUACUUGUCUUCCAAUUUUUGUCACAACACACUUGCUACCGUCUCCCGCAUCACAAAAUACUUCUGAGUUUUUGCAAGGCACAACCGAAUUGAAGAGCAAGCCCACAAAUUUAAUUUCUCCCAUUCCGGCUUCGACAUAGCUUCUGGCUUCUCUCCCAAAGCGGCAAGUAGAUCUUGUUGAGCUAACACAUCUUUGACCUCACAUUGCCACAUCCCGAAGUUGUUUGUGCCAUCAAACUUUUCCACUUCGAACUUUGCAUUUUGCACCGUAGUUCUUGCAAACUCGGAGCUGCUUCCAAAAGGAUUUUUAUCUUGCCCGUCUGACAUCUUUGGCAACUAGACAGUACCCAAGAGCAACCAGUGCUCUGAUACCAAUUCUUGUGCUAGGAUAGCACCAAACCUUAUGGAACCAACUCUUGAUGACCCACAGGAAAUAUAUCAAAUGAAAUGCAAGAACAAAAUAUUAAAGACACCAAGAUUUUAACGAGGUUCCUCAACAGUCAGUGUAACUGGAGUACGUCCUCGGAGCAGAAGGAGCUCACCCAAUAAUCCACUAUCAACCAAAUGAGAGUUUACAAAGUGUUGGCAAGCUCACAACCCAAAACCCCAAUACAACCAAUAGCUCUCACAUACCAAAGAAACAAAUAGAGAGAAAUAUAAUGAAUAAUUUCUUCUCUAUACGAAGCUCAAAGCUAAUACAUAAAUACAACUUUGAUUGAGUGAGAACUAACCAAGAAAGAAAAUCACCUUUCUUUCUUAUAUGGAAGCUGCGUACCUCUCUUCUUCUUUCUGCUGCUCCCUCCUAUUUUCUUCUUCUGCGGCUGUUUUCUUCUCAUAACAACAAAAGCAGCAAUUGCUGCUAAAUAAUUCCUUAAGUCACCCCGUGACUUCCCACAUGGACCAAAGAAAAAACUUUAGACAAAGUGCACUUUUCUUUUCCCCAAAACAAGGAAGAAACAUAAUCAUGUUGUCCCUUUUUUUUCUUUUUAUUUGUUUAAUAGCCAAAA